CAGUAGCCACGGUAAUACAGAGGGUGCGAGCGUUAAUCGGAUUUACUGGGCGUAAAGCGUGCGUAGGCGGCUUCUUAAGUCGGAUGUGAAAUCCCUGAGCUUAACUUAGGAAUUGCAUUCGAUACUGGGAAGCUAGAGUAUGGGAGAGGAUGGUAGAAUUCCAGGUGUAGCGGUGAAAUGCGUAGAGAUCUGGAGGAAUACCGAUGGCGAAGGCAGCCAUCUGGCCUAAUACUGACGCUGAGGUACGAAAGCAUGGGGAGCAAACAGGAUUAGAUACUCCGGUAGUCCCUGUCUCUUAUAC
Molecule: ribosomal RNA, 301 nt
Filed under: uncultured bacterium
Lineage: Bacteria
Description: partial 16S ribosomal RNA
Rfam family: Bacterial small subunit ribosomal RNA
Source: RNAcentral